RNAcentral lists this ribosomal RNA (279 nucleotides) under uncultured bacterium. RNAcentral's name for it is "partial 16S ribosomal RNA". It matches the Rfam family "Bacterial small subunit ribosomal RNA", at positions 506 to 784 of the family's 1533-position model. The record is from RNAcentral.
UGCCAGCAGCCGCGGUAAUACGGGGGGUGCAAGUGUUAAUCGGAAUUAUUGGGCGUAAAGGGUAAGUAGGCGGUUUAUUAAAUUAUUUGUCAAAGGUCUUAGCUCAACUAAGGGAAGGCAUUUAAGACUGAUAAACUAGAAUCAGAUAGAGGAUAGUGGAAUUUCUAAAGGAGGAUUAAGCCCUGUAGAUAUUAGAAGGAAGAUCGGCGGCGAAGGCGGCUAUCUGGGUCUGUAUUGACGCUAAAUUACUAAGGCGUAGGGAGCGAAUGGGAUUAGAUA